GAGCUUGCUCUGCUGGAUCAGUGGCGAACGGGUGAGUAACACGUGAGUAACCUGCCCUUGACUCUGGGAUAAGCGUUGGAAACGACGUCUAAUACCGGAUACGAGCUGAGACCGCAUGGUCAUCAGUUGGAAAGAAUUUCGGUCAAGGAUGGACUCGCGGCCUAUCAGCUUGUUGGUGAGGUAAUGGCUCACCAAGGCGACGACGGGUAGCCGGCCUGAGAGGGUGACCGGCCACACUGGGACUGAGACACGGCCCAGACUCCUACGGGAGGCAGCAGUGGGGAAUAUUGCACAAUGGGCGCAAGCCUGAUGCAGCAACGCCGCGUGAGGGAUGACGGCCUUCGGGUUGUAAACCUCUUUUAGUAGGGAAGAAGCGAAAGUGACGGUACCUGCAGAAAAAGCACCGGCUAACUACGUGCCAGCAGCCGCGGUAAUACGUAGGGUGCAAGCGUUGUCCGGAAUUAUUGGGCGUAAAGAGCUCGUAGGCGGUUUGUCGCGUCUGCUGUGAAAACUGGAGGCUCAACCUCCAGCCUGCAGUGGGUACGGGCAGACUAGAGUGCGGUAGGGGAGAUUGGAAUUCCUGGUGUAGCGGUGGAAUGCGCAGAUAUCAGGAGGAACACCGAUGGCGAAGGCAGAUCUCUGGGCCGUAACUGACGCUGAGGAGCGAAAGCGUGGGGAGCGAACAGGAUUAGAUACCCUGGUAGUCCACGCCGUAAACGU
Molecule: ribosomal RNA, 720 nt
Filed under: Herbiconiux sp. I12A-01115
Lineage: Bacteria; Bacillati; Actinomycetota; Actinomycetes; Micrococcales; Microbacteriaceae
Description: bacterial SSU rRNA
Rfam family: Bacterial small subunit ribosomal RNA
Source: RNAcentral